UUACAAUAAAAAUGAUGUCUCCACUUAUUUGUGGUGUCACUCUGAGGGAAAUAGUCGGAGUCUUUUCACAGAAAAGACGGAGAGGUUGUUCAGCAGGAGCGGGUUAAUCCGAGCUCCCAUGCCUGCUGCAGUCACAGUACAAGGGCCACGCUUGGAAAAGUUGGAAAACUUUUUCCCCGUGGUGGAGAAAAGCCCUCAUC
RNAcentral lists this long non-coding RNA (200 nucleotides) under Sus scrofa (pig). RNAcentral's name for it is "lncRNA (ENSSSCG00025032538.1, ENSSSCG00035077760.1)". The record is from RNAcentral. Lineage: Eukaryota; Metazoa; Chordata; Mammalia; Artiodactyla; Suidae.